RNAcentral lists this ribosomal RNA (347 nucleotides) under uncultured bacterium. RNAcentral's name for it is "bacterial SSU rRNA". It matches the Rfam family "Bacterial small subunit ribosomal RNA", at positions 28 to 402 of the family's 1533-position model. The record is from RNAcentral.
GAUAAACGCUGGCGGCGUGCCUAACACAUGCAAGUCGAACGAUCCCGCAAGGGAGAGUGGCGGAAGGGUGAGUAACACGUGGAAUCUACCUCCUCGCAGGGAACAACCUCUCGAAAGAGAGGCUAAUACCCAAAGGGUCAGAAAUGAUCAGAGUCGAAAGGCGUGAGGAGAGGAGCCCGCGGCCCAAUCAGCUAGUUGGUGAGGUAAUGGCUUACCAAGGCUACGACGGGUAGGGAUCUGAGAGGAUGUCCCCCACACUGGAACUGAAACACGGUCCAGACGCCUACGGGUGGCAGCAGUGAGGAAUAUUGGACAAUGGGCGAAAGCCCGAUCCAGCAACGCCGCGU